GAUGAACGCUGGCGGCGUGCCUAACACAUGCAAGUCGAGCGAUCUUCUUCGGAAGAGAGCGGCGGACGGGUGAGUAACGCGUGGGUAACCUGCCUCAUACACAUGGAUAACAUACCGAAAGGUAUGCUAAUACAAGAUAAUAUAAGAGAUUCGCAUGGAUUUCUUAUCAAAGCUCCGGCGGUAUGAGAUGGACCCGCGUCUGAUUAGCUAGUUGGUAAGGUAACGGCUUACCAAGGCGACGAUCAGUAGCCGACCUGAGAGGGUGGUCGGCCACAUUGGAACUGAGACACGGUCCAAACGCCUACGGGAGGCAGCAGUGGGGAAUAUUGCACAAUGGGCGAAAGCCUGAUGCAGCAACGCCGCGUGAGCGAUGAAGGCCUUCGGGUCGUAAAGCUCUGUCCUCAAGGAAGAUAAUGACGGUACUUGAGGAGGAAGCCCCGGCUAACUACGUGCCAGCCGCCGCCGUAA
Molecule: ribosomal RNA, 468 nt
Filed under: uncultured bacterium
Lineage: Bacteria
Description: partial 16S ribosomal RNA
Rfam family: Bacterial small subunit ribosomal RNA
Source: RNAcentral